UGAGUUCCUCAUUGAGGAUACGUAGGAGCAAAAGCCCCGCUUUUGUCGACCACCCCAAGAGAUCGUUAAUGGUCCAAUGCCUUAACGUUUCUCUCCUUUCAAAAACAAGAGAUCGUUAAUGGUCCAACGCCUUAACGUUUUCUCAUCUUUCAAAAUCAAAAGACCGUUUAAUGGUCCAACACCUUAAAUGACCUUUUGUUCAAAUAAAAACAUAUUUUGCAAAAAAGACAAAAAACAAACUUAA
This 244-nucleotide long non-coding RNA is filed under the name Glycine max (soybean). RNAcentral describes it as "long non-coding RNA (GMAX_LNC001982)". The record is from RNAcentral. Lineage: Eukaryota; Viridiplantae; Streptophyta; Magnoliopsida; Fabales; Fabaceae.